UGAGUGACAGAUGCAUCAUCGAGCUUCCACAUAGCAUGUGAGAGUAGGGUAGCGCAGCAUCUAAAGAGGAUGGACCUACCAGAAUUGUCACUCGAAGCAGUGACUAUUGUAUUAGCCAUUCAAACAGUUUAUGUAGGAUGGCGAUAUUGGCGAGGAUAUGCAGCGAUGUCCGGCACCCGUGCAGUGAUGGAAGCCAUUAGGGAGACUUUAAGAGUACAGUUAGAUAAAAUGACCAUUGCCUUCUCCCCAAUUUUUCUUGCGAUUCUGUGGACCUCUGGGCUGCUCUACAGUAGAGAGUUGGCGCCUAUCUUAGCGACUGGGUAUAUCCUAGGCCGACCAAUGUGCCCUGUUGGAACUCACAAACCCAUUAAAAUAUGGCAUUUCUUGGGCUUUUACAUGGCGAUGACGUCUGUUAUUCUUCUGAGUCUUUCUGCCUGCCUUGGCCUGCUCCGUGCCACCCUGGAGCCAUACAGUGACACCUUGAGUCAAUACGCUGUCGUUGACCUCCGCCACUUAAUCAGUUGCCUUUAUCCACCUCCCACACCACCAUCUUCUUUCUUCUAGUUCACCAAGUCAUCGAACCACUGAAUGGUGAUGAUGGUCAACUAACUGGCUAUGAGAGUCUUGUGCAAUAAAAAAAAGCAGAUAUA
Long non-coding RNA from Engraulis encrasicolus (European anchovy), 650 nucleotides. RefSeq lists it as uncharacterized. The record is from RefSeq and is a predicted model, not a curated record. The transcript has 5 exons. NCBI's taxonomy places the organism in Eukaryota, Metazoa, Chordata, Actinopteri, Clupeiformes, Engraulidae.